Non-coding RNA from Carica papaya (papaya), 691 nucleotides. The record is from RefSeq and is a predicted model, not a curated record. NCBI's taxonomy places the organism in Eukaryota, Viridiplantae, Streptophyta, Magnoliopsida, Brassicales, Caricaceae.
GAGGUUAGUAAUUGGUAAUGUUACAUUAUCUUGGUUGGAAGCUUCAAUAUUUUUUGUUCAGAUUUUGAUUGCUUAUAUACUAACAACUUUCCUUGUCUAUUUUGGACCAGGGUGUUAAAAUAGUUUUCAAAGUUGGUUUGGCCUUGUUAAGAUCUUGCCAUGAUGAUCUGAUUAAAUUACCCUUUGAGAAACUCAUACAUGCCCUGCGCAACUUUCUUGCCGAAGCAAUGGAACCUGAUGUGUUACUUCCAAUGGCUUACUCAAUAAAGGGGAUUUGAUGGGUCAAUUUGAACUGGAGAAGAUGGGGAACGGUGAUGCGGUUCUGGAAACAAGGUUACGCGUACCUUGCCUGCGACAGUUACGCUCGAGAGCGGACCUGAUAACAUCAAGGAAACUUGGGGGGGAGUUGAAGCUCAAUCCUCCAUUUUCUCAUGAGAUAUCAGAACCUUGUAGAGAAGAUAGAAAGUGAAAAGAGAAGCAGAUUAGAAAUAUAUCAACCGAAAGAAGAAGAAGAAGAUUCAUAAGCGUAGAAAUGGGAAUCUUCAUGCAAACUUGUUUGAUGAGCGCUCGUUUGAUUUUUCAUCGAGCAUUGCAGUUUCAAGUGUCUGCCUUUUGUAAGCUUUCAUAAUCUUUAAAUUUUUAGUUUUUUAAUAUUACUAGAAAUAUGACAUUUAUGAUUUUUACAUCAUAU